GCGGCCGUAGUCUAGCCUGGACAGGAUGCCGGCCCUCCAAGCCGGAGACCCGGGUUCAAAUCCCGGCGGCCGCACCA
Molecule: transfer RNA, 77 nt
Filed under: Thermoproteota archaeon
Lineage: Archaea; Thermoproteati; Thermoproteota
Also listed under: 1 other name
Description: tRNA-Gly
Rfam family: tRNA
About the family: Transfer RNA (tRNA) molecules are approximately 80 nucleotides in length. Their secondary structure includes four short double-helical elements and three loops (D, anti-codon, and T loops). Further hydrogen bonds mediate the characteristic L-shaped molecular structure. tRNAs have two regions of fundamental functional importance: the anti-codon, which is responsible for specific mRNA codon recognition, and the 3' end, to which the tRNAs corresponding amino acid is attached (by aminoacyl-tRNA synthetases). tRNAs cope with the degeneracy of the genetic code in two manners: having more than one tRNA (with a specific anti-codon) for a particular amino acid; and 'wobble' base-pairing, i.e. permitting non-standard base-pairing at the 3rd anti-codon position.
Source: RNAcentral